Molecule: ribosomal RNA, 1377 nt
Filed under: uncultured bacterium
Lineage: Bacteria
Description: bacterial SSU rRNA
Rfam family: Bacterial small subunit ribosomal RNA
Source: RNAcentral
GGUAUGGACCUUUCGGGGUUCAGAGAGUGGCGAACGGGUGAGUAACACGUAGGUAAUCUACCCUCAAGGACGGGGACAACCCAGGGAAACUUGGGCUAAUACCGGAUGUGUGUAGUGACUAUUUUUCUGAUUAUCAUUAUUUACGUAAGUGAGUGAUAAUAAGAAGGGAAAGUGGUUAUUACAUAAGAGGUGGCGUAACUGCCGCUUGGGGAUGAGCCUGCGUCCUAUUAGUUAGUUGGUGAGGUAACGGCUUACCAAGGCGAUGAUAGGUAGGCGGCCUUAACGGGUGGUCGCCCACACUGGGAUUGAGAUACGGCCCAGACUCCUACGGGAGGCAGCAGUCGAGAAUAGUCUACAAUGGACGGAAGUCUGAUAGUGCGACGCCGCGUGAACGAAGAAUCCCUUCGGGGUGUAAAGUUCUUUUAUACGUGAGCAGUGUCCUUUAUAUUAAUAGUAUAAGGGGAGAGAUAUUAGCGUAUGAAUAAGCAACGGCUAACUCCGUGCCAGCAGCCGCGGUAACACGGGGGUUGCGAGCGUUGUCCGGAAUUACUAGGCGUAAAGUGCAGGUAGGCGGAUAAAUAAGUUUAAGGUUAAAGGCUACGGCUUACCCGUAGUAAGGCGUUAGAUACUGUUUAUCUGGAAUGCGGUUGAGGGAGACAGAAUUCCUGGUGUAGCGGUGGAAUGCGCAGAGAUCAGGAGGAAUACCGAAGGCGAAGGCAGUCUUCUAAGCCGAUAUUGACGCUAAACUGCGAAGGUGUGGGGGAUCAAACAGGAUUAGAUACCCUGGUAGUCCACACAGUAAACGAUAAUCACUAGGUGUUGGGUUCUUAAGAGGAUUCAGUGCCGGACUAACGCGAUAAGUGAUUCGCCUGGGGAGUACGAUCGCAAGGUUGAAACUCAAAGGAAUUGACGGGGGCCGCACAAGCGGUGGAGCAUGUGGUUUAAUUCGACGCAACGCGAAGAACCUUACCUGGGCUCGAACGGCUACUCACAGAGGCAGAAAUGUCUUGUCUCUUCGGGAGAGUAUAGUCGAGGUGCUGCAUGGCUGUCGUCAGCUCGUGUCGUGAGAUGUUGGGUUAAGUCCCGCAACGAGCGCAACCCUUACUAGUAGUUACUAACGGACAAUGCCGAGGACUCUACUGGGACUGCCUGCGACAAGCAGGAGGAAGGUGGGGACGACGUCAAGUCAUCAUGGCCCUUACGUCCAGGGCUACACACGUGCUACAAUGGCUGGCACAAAGAGACGCAAAGUGGCGACACUGAGCAAAUCUGAGAAAUCCAGCCCCAGUUCGGAUAGGAGUCUGCAAUUCGACUCCUUGAAGUUGGAAUCGCUAGUAAUCGCAGAUCAGAAUGCUGCGGUGAAUACGUUCCCGGGCC